UGGCAACCAGACUUGCGCAGGGUCGAUCAUCCGGUGUUCGCACCGGUGCACUCGGCCCCGUGCAGGCCAGCAUCGGUCUAGACGGUUGGAUAAAGGCCUUGGGAAUGUGACUCUCUUCGGGGAGUGUUAUAGCCCAAGGUGCAAUGCAGCCCGUCUGGACCGAGGACCGCGCUCCGGCUAGGAUGCUGGCGUAAUGGUUGUCAGCGA
This 207-nucleotide ribosomal RNA is filed under the name Oidiodendron sp. RNAcentral describes it as "partial large subunit ribosomal RNA". Lineage: Eukaryota; Fungi; Ascomycota; Leotiomycetes; Myxotrichaceae. The record is from RNAcentral.